GUACGGGAGGCAGCAGUGGGGAAUUUUGGACAAUGGGGGAAACCCUGAUCCAGCCAUUCCGCGUGAGUGAAGAAGGCCUUCGGGUUGUAAAGCUCUUUCGCAAGGAAAGAAAACUUAUCUACUAAUACUAGGUGAGGUUGACGGUACCUUGAUAAGAAGCACCGGCUAACUACGUGCCAGCAGCCGCGGUAAUACGUAGGGUGCGAGCGUUAAUCGGAAUUACUGGGCGUAAAGCGUGCGCAGGCGGUUCGACAAGUCUGAUGUGAAAUCCCCGGGCUCAACCUGGGAACUGCGUUGGAAACUGUCGGGCUAGAGUGUAGAAGAGGGGGGUAGAAUUCCACGUGUAGCAGUGAAAUGCGUAGAGAUGUGGAGGAAUACCGAUGGCGAAGGCAGCCCCCUGGGCUAACACUGACGCUCAUGCACGAAAGCGUGGGGAGCAAACAGGAUUAGAUACCCCGGUAGA
Molecule: ribosomal RNA, 463 nt
Filed under: uncultured bacterium
Lineage: Bacteria
Description: bacterial SSU rRNA
Rfam family: Bacterial small subunit ribosomal RNA
Source: RNAcentral